RNAcentral lists this long non-coding RNA (2561 nucleotides) under Citrus sinensis (sweet orange). Its description in RNAcentral is "long non-coding RNA (CSIN_LNC000404)". The record is from RNAcentral. Lineage: Eukaryota; Viridiplantae; Streptophyta; Magnoliopsida; Sapindales; Rutaceae.
CAAAUACCAGCCAUUCUGAGAAUCUUGGCUCGACUGGUCCUAUCUCAAAGAUAGGAUUUACAUGAAGAGGAGUUGGCCCCAUAGGUGUAAGGUACUCUUUCAUUCCACCUCGUAUGAUUUUGCAUCUGAUAACGGGAUAUGAUCAAAUGUUAGUCCUCAACAAGAGCUGAAGAAUAGAUGGAACAGAGAAAAUGGCUGUAGCGUAAAAAGAUUAUCAAACAUUUGCAAGAACCCAGGACGUUUGGUGGGAGAUUUUUCUCAGAUGUCUAAAACUGCCUGAUAGAAAUGCUAUCUCCUCCAUUUUUAGUCUUCUAAGUAGCUUUAGAAAACAGGCACUUGUCUUGAAAUAGUAUGCAUCAUGUAAUAUUGAGGCAUAGUGUCUAGAGUCUAAGGUGUGAAUAGAAUGCCAAGAUAUGAAAUAGAAAAUAUACUUGAGAUCUAGAAAGCCGCUCAUCUCAAUUGCCCCACAGAAUGUGACCUCACCAUCACCCUGAGAAAAGUGCAUAUCGCCGGUACUAAGAUUUGCUCCAUCCACAAAUACUGGAAGGUAUAUUUUUGAACCUCUGCUUAGAUUUUUGAUGUCACAAUUUCCUCCAUUUUCUCUUCCUGGAAUUGUCCUCGCAGCCUCCAUAGCAAUUUUUUUCCAUUCAGGAGUUCCCUCUUGGAUCUAGCACAUACUCAUUCCCACCACAUAGUAAAUUAAUGUUAGUAUCACAAAUCUCUAAGCUCUUGAUUUUUCUAGAGCAUAUAUUAAUUUUCACGUAGGAAAUGUUUAUUAGUUUAAGUCAGCUUCAUGAUGUGUAUCUAUUGGUUCUGAGCCAUGAAGAUUUGCAAAAUUCUGUAAUUUUCUACUAAACUAAAGUACUACACUUAAAUACUCAAAUUGCUUUUAUUUUAUGAGUAGUAAUAUUUCAUACUUGUCCAAGCAAGCAGCCCUUGGUCAAUGGUAGUUUUGCCAAUGGUCGCGUAUGCAAGACCUCACAUAAUUUGAGGGAUUGAAGACCAGUUUCUUCAAGUUCGCUUUCCCUUUCAUUCCAUAUCUUCAGGAGUUCCAUUGAUGGGGCAGUUCCAAUUAUGCCAGGGUGAGUUAAACCUGGAAAUCGUACCCCUGAAUGUGUACAAACCUAUUUCAGGACAUAUACAUCCGUGUACAUUUAUUUUCAUUCAACACAGAUAUGAACUAGUUUCUUGAAGAACUUUUUUUAAGCAUAAGUGGUUUUAGAAACAAUAAAGAGGUAGAAAAAGUCACCCGGUAUGUGAGGAGAGUAGGCAUAAAUUCCUUCGAAGUACCAAAUAGCUUUGGUUGCACAAGGGAAAUGAUCAGUCAAAAAACCACCUCCAUUUUCUCUAUCAAAUGUUGCUGUAUAACCCCAUUCAUCUCCAGGCAGAGGACCCAAGUUGCAUAUUUCAACUGCAAGAAGAUCACCUGGCUUCGCUGGAAUUCCUUGUUCAUCCACAACUUUGAUCGGUCCGCUGAGAUAAUGCACCUGGUGAACAAUUUACAAAUACCUUUAGGAUUUUUGUUAUUUCAAAACAACUAAUGUCUUUUAAUAAAUUAAUUUUCAGACUCAAGUAACUUAUGUUUAUCUAAAUGUCAGCUAGACCUGUCGCAAAGGUUUUAAUUUGUUUGUAUGCGAGGUGUUUCUUUUGGGUAUGUUAUAGUGGCUGCUUAAUUACAUUAAGAAGAUCGCUUUGUUCAGAAGAAUACAGUUGAUACUUGCCGUGGAGUGGAGGGGUCUAUUGUUUUUGUAUAUUGUUAUCUUUGACAUCUCUACUCAGAACGUAAUUCAUUUGCUCAUAGCUAAUGCCUUAGGCCGGUCGCCGGCAUCCCAAAUGUGUAGAGGUCCACUGAGAUUAUAUAUUAGUUACACUGAAAGAGUUUCUUUAGAGUUAAGUAAAUACAUUUAAAUUGAUACUUACUGUGGAGAGGUCUGAGGUUUUCACAUCAAUUGCAGAAUCAUUAUCUUUUAUCGCACCCCCAGUAAAAUCUACCAUCUCUACUCUGAAAAGCUCACCAACUUUAACUUCUGCCACCGGAGGAAUCUCGGGGUGCCAUCUGUUGUGAAGGGUUAGCUUUUGCUCAUUUGGUUUCUUCUUCAAGUCUAUUGGCACUACCACCGUUGGGGUUGUUGGAGCCAUGGAUGAAUCUGUAAAGAUUCAGAGAGUUUCAAGAUUCUUAUAUUUUUGACGAUUUAUUAGAUUAAUCAAAUUUCGGUUUAUUGCAGAAAAAGAAGUCGACACGUCCGGAUGGGAUACUUGAUAGCUGAGAGCUGACUGACAAACUGGGGGACAAAUUUUUCCAAUGACUCUGCUCAGGCUUAAGAUUUUAUCCAGUGUGGAGCUAUUUGCACCCUAUAAUAUAUUUGAACACCUAUAUUUUAAUGAAAAAGAUGUAAAUUUAUUAUUCAAAACAAUAUGACACUAAAAAAUAGAAUACAAUUAGUAAUCUUGACAUCCACCUAACACACCCAUACAACUUACAGUUAUUAUAAAAAGAAAUAAGAUCAAAUAAUGAUAGAUUUGGCAUUUAAAAGGGUGUGCAGGGCAAAACUUAGUUAAAG